Molecule: RNA transcript, 2477 nt
Organism: Thrips palmi
Lineage: Eukaryota; Metazoa; Arthropoda; Insecta; Thysanoptera; Thripidae
Gene name: reticulon-4-interacting protein 1 homolog, mitochondrial-like
Exons: 12
Source: RefSeq, a predicted model, not a curated record
GUCACGCCCACGCCCUCUCUGCCUUGUGUCGAGUGAAGCAAAUGUCCACCGUAGCAGACAACUCCAACUCACCCUUCUUUAGGGCCGGGGGGGUUGAUCAUCUAUUAUCGAGUGAAUGACCUGAAAGCAGAAUGAUUUUUCUCACCAUCUUCUGCUAAGUGAGGUUGGACGCCGCACGACCUUUGAAAAGAAAACAGAUAAAAAUAAAUAUGACUUAACGUGAAGAGGGUGCAGCGUAGAGGGGUGCUUUCUUUAGAUCAAUGUCUUGGAGCUGUCAAGGAUGGAUGAAGUCGCCUUUCACUUAAACCAAAGACUGGAAUCUUUUCAGGUCCAGUUGUUAUCAGUGAUUCAGCAUGGAAACAUGGCCAUACAUAGCCGAAUGCAGGAAUUGCAUAAUUUGGCUUUAGCUGCAAUUGAAAGUAAUCAAGCAACAGCAGUGAGGCAAACGUUUCGCACAAUAUGGGAAAAGCUUGUCUACCUCAUUCAGGAGGCCAAAGCCUCCUUCCCCCGAGCAGUAAACCCUGUCGUAUUAUACGAUGAGUUUAUGCUUAUGCUGGGAAACGAAUUGAAUCGAAGAAAUUUUUACACUGGCUGUGUCGGUUUUGCCUUGGGAGGCAUGAUUGGUGUAGUGGUUGGCAUGUCCCUUCAUUCACCACCCUCACCCAGCCAAAGAAUUAGAGCAGUUGUGUGCAUGGACUACCGAGGAUUAGAUGCAGUUUCAACAAGUGAUGAUGUUCCUAUGCCCAUUCUGACAUCACCGGAUCAAAUGCUAAUUGAAGUUCGUGCUGCCUCCUUAGACUUUUUAGACAUAAAAAUAUCUUCUGGCUAUGGCCGAGUAUUGAGGCGGCAGCUUCAUAAGUACUCUGCUAGUACUCCUAAGGAACUACCUGUUGUACUGGGACGAGAUUGUUCUGGUGUAGUUGUUGAUAUUGGGCAUGAUGUAAAAAACUUUGAAAUUGGAGAUGAGGUUUGGCUAGCUGUCCCGUACUGGGCAUCUGGAACUUUAGCUCAGUAUGUGGUUGCAAAAGAACGUCAGGUGGCGCGGAAACCAAGAGGAAUUGGAUUUGAGGGAGCUGCUGCCUUGCCAUACUCAGGUUCAAUUGCCUGGGAUGCAAUGGUGAACCAAGCAAAACUGAAUAGCAAGAACACUCGUGGGAAGAGGAUACUUGUUCAUUGUGGGAGUAGCCCUGUGGGCUGCGUGGUUACCCAGUUGGCUAGACUCUGGGGCGCACAUGUCACUGUGACAUGUCCUGCCCGAGCACUGACAGUCUGCAACGCCCUAGGGGCUGACGACACCAUAGUAUUUGAAGAGGGACCUGUAGAUAAACAGCUUGCCUCACGAGAAAGGUUCAAUGUAGUAUUUAAUACUUUGGGAGCAGUUGUCCAUGACUCAUGUUUGAGAUUUUGUGAUGAUGAUGGUAUUGUUGUCACAACGGUGGCAACCAAAAUAGCAUCUGACUCCUAUGGUUUCAUUCUUGGAACUUUGUAUGCGAUCUGGGUCAAGAUACAGUGCUUAGUCAUGAAGGAAAAAGUGGCAUGGGGUGCUGUUCACUUAAAUAGUGACACUUUGAAUGAGUUAGCAAAACUAGUUGACAAUGGACAGCUGCAGCCUGUUGUUGACAAAAUAUUUUCUCCUAGAGAUGUAGAAUUGGCAUUUCAGCAUACCGACUCUGCACAAGCCAUUGGAAAGACUGUCAUUCGUUUCAGCUCUCGCUUCAGAUGACCAGGACUCUGGGGUAGGAUCGGUGGGACUCCAUACAGAUCUGCCCCAACCCCUUUCUCUUAAAGCAGUUGUUUCAUGUUGUUAUAUGGCUUUGGAUUCAAUGAGGAUGACAGCCAGUCCAUGCGGUCUCGAUCUUCAGCCAGAUCGUCAAAGCCUGACAUUUUGACAUGAUGGUGUCGGUUCAGAGAUAGAUUGGGACCUCCAACAUAUCUCUCCUACAAGUCACUCAAUGGCUAAUGACCAUUCAGUUUUAUGCAUAAUUAAAUAGCAGGUUUGAAGAGCUCAUGAAAUGUUUUGUUCAUAUUAGAUGAUAAUACCUGUACAGUAAGAGAUGUCUCAUCAGCACUAGUGAUAAUAGAAAGGUGCAUACGGGUAUUCUAUACCAUAGGAUAUGAGAAAGUUAGUAGAGGUGCGAAUCUACCCAUGGCUAAAAGCCUACCAUGAAAUUUGUGUCCCUAGAUGUCUAGUGAAAACCUGAAUGUUGUCCAGUAUUCUAUAUUCAACACCACCUAUACCUGUGUACUAGGAUGUAAUCUGCUUUCCUGGAGAGGACUUUGUUUCUGCAAAAUGCUUACCCUUCCGUUUGAUUUAUCAUAUCUUGAGAUAAGUUUUACUAGCUACUAAGUAUUGCUUACCAGGCAAAUGAAUCAUCACUGCUAUUAAUUUUAAUAUCAUUGUACAUAAAAUUAUUUUUUGAAGGAACAAAGCCAUGUAGCUAGUGAAGUGCAUUUUGUAUAUAAAGUUAAAAUUGUUA